Molecule: ribosomal RNA, 206 nt
Filed under: uncultured bacterium
Lineage: Bacteria
Description: partial 16S ribosomal RNA
Rfam family: Bacterial small subunit ribosomal RNA
Source: RNAcentral
CGUGUAGGCGGCCCGGUAAGUCCGCUGUGAAAGUCGGGGGCUCAACCCUCGGAUGCCGGUGGAUACUGUCGGGCUCGAGUGCGGAAGAGGCGAGUGGAAUUCCUGGUGUAGCGGUGAAAUGCGCAGAUAUCAGGAGGAACACCAAUUGCGAAGGCAGCUCGCUGGGACGUGACUGACGCUGAGAGCGAAAGCGGUGGGAACAAACA